AGAACAAAUUACUUAGCAUUUGUUGUUAUUUAACACUAGAAUUGCCAAUUUUUUAGAGUAAAUUCCUGUUUUUUUAUGCUUAAAUCAAUGGACUGAGGCAAGUAAAUGUUACCUAAGUAGGCACUUCCAUAAUAAAUGUAAAUAAAGUCGUAUUCACUUUAAGAUUUUGCAAUAGCACAUAACAGUAAAAAAAAAUAAUUGGGUAGCAAGUAUGAAUGACAUUUCAUUUCUUAUAAAAUUAAACAGAAUGAUCUACAAGAACUGCUCAAUAUGUGCUUUGUAGAUGCAGAUGUAUAAUUACAAUUUUUAACAUUUAAAAUAAAAAGCUUCAGUUUCUAAGUGUUGAUAUUACAAAAUUGGAAAACAAACAGCAGUAUCCUUUUGGCAAGAGGUUUAAAAUUGGUUUCCAAUAUGAUUUUUUGGCAAGCCAGAUUUUGAAAAGUGUUUAUAGAGAAUUUUAAGGUUAUUUUUGACUCCAGAGUCUAGCCCUAAAAUAUUGAGGUGAUGUUUCAUUACACUUUGUAUAUGAAAAGAGUUAAAAGCUAGGCAUUUUGAUAUUGCUGACAAGUGAGAGUAAAAAAUGUCAAAUCUCUCAAAAUUUUUUACUCCUGGAAUGGAAAUCUCCCAGAAUUGACUCAUCGGGAGUUGGUAAGCUUCUCAGCUGUAGACAAUUGGAAAGUCCAGGGUAACUGUCAACUCUUGAAGAUGGCCCAUUAUCAAGAUCAUACAUUCUUUGAAGAAAGGAUAUCUGCUGAAAAUCUAUUGUUGGAGUGGGAUCUUGUUAGAAUUUUUCCAUUCAACAAAUCCUGUUUUAAUCAGCAUUAUAAAAGAAAUAUUAUCAAAAAAUUAAUGCACCUAUCUGGAUUAUUAAAUUGUUUGUUAGUACUGGAUAACAAUCAUUUCAAGUAUGGUGAUAACUUUUAUAGUCAAACUGAAGGAAUACCAAUGGGAACGUGCAUAGGCCCAAGACUUGCCGAAAUCUUUAUGAUAGACAUAGAUAAAAAAAUUACAGAUAUAAAAGGAAUAAUAUUUUAUAAUAGAUAUGUGGAUGAUUGCAUUAUUUUAUUUGAUAGUAGAAAGACUAACGAAGAAAAAAUUUUAAAACAGGCAAAUUCAAUAGAAACAAACAUACAGUUUGAAGCCGAAACAGAAUGUAAUAAUAGUUUAAAUUAUUUAGACAUAACCAUUAAUAGAACUGACAACAAAUUAGAAUUCAGAAAAUUUAUAAAACCUAUGCAAAUACCAAAGGUACUAAAUUAUAAAACCAACGUUCCACAAGCUAUGAAAUUUAACAUCUUCAAAAUGUACAUAGAAAAAAUUAAAAACAGAACUAGUAAAUUAGAAAAUCAAGAGAUGGAAAUAGAACAUGUAAUAAAAAUGUUCUUACUGAAUAGUUACCCCAAAAAAAUAUUAGAAAAAUGGUUAAACUGGACUAAUAAUAAUGACAAUAAAAAUAAAAAAUUUAAAAAAGAUAAAAAAUGUGUAAAAAUGAUGUAUGUACCUAAACUGUUUGAAAGAGUUAAAAAUGUACUAAAUGAAAAAGUGAAUUUAAUACCCGAAAAAAAUAAUUUAUUUAAAAGAUAUUUAUAUAAUAGGGUAGAUAAAAAAUUGGAUUUAAUGGAAGAAAAAGAAAUUGUGUAUUCAUUCAAUUGCAGUUGUGAUCCGGUUAAAACUUAUAUAGGUGAAACAAAAAGAAAAUUAGGCACAAGAAUAAAAGAGCACAUACGUGCAAUAAGGGGUAAUUAUGCAAAUUCUGCAGUAGCAGAACACUGCAAUAGUUAUGGGUGCCAAAUCAACAAAGAUACUAUAAAAAUAAAGAAAAAAGAAUCAAAUAAUUACAAACGUCAAUUAUACGAACAUUUAAACAUAAAGAAAGAAAGAAAUAAAAUAAACAAUAAUUUGGGUCGUAUAAUCCACCAAUCCUGGAGCACCAUACUAGAUGACGUUUAUAAAAAAGCAUAGUUAAGCCUCUCUACCAUAAUACUGUUGAAUUGCGAAAAUUUGAACCUUGAUUGAAAUGUUUAACUCAUUAAUUAAUUAUACAACGAGAAAAAUACAUUUAUACUCGGGUUUGGAAUAUGUAUUUACAUGUGUGGUAGUAGUACUGCUGAUGAGGGGCAUGCUAGCCCGAAACACGUGUAAUAUGUGUACAGAAACUAUUACUACAGAACCUGUAAUAUCUGGAAUAAUUGUGUUUACGCUGUCUUAAUUUUUAACCAUGCCCAGUAUCUUCAAUACUGCGUAAUGCCAGGUCGUGCAAAUUGGGCAAGGAUAUAUAGUCUGCAAAGUCAUCUAAAAGAAAAUAACUGGCUCAGGACAAGGCUUGAACCAGCAAACUCCACUUGCCAUGCGGUGUGCUUGCCAGUUGCGCCACUCGAACUCCAAGCAAGCCUUCGCUUCCAGCUAGUGCCAUCAUUAUAACCAUGUAAGAUUAUAUCUAAAUUUAAAUACAUCUGGAAAAGUGAGUGAACAAAAUCAUGCACCACAUACACACACACAUACACAUCCAUACAUAUGGGAAAACACCCAAACUUUUUUGCAUUUCUUGAUGUUUUAAGGUUCUCCAAAUCCAAAAAUUAAAAAUCUUGGGGAGAGGUCAUUUUUGAUCAAUUGCCAUACCUUCUGUUAUAUAUAAUGCUGGGAAAGUAAUAUUGCAAAUGAAUACAAACACAAAUAAAAUUUGUACUCUUACAUAUUCUUCACAGCUACAGGAACACAAAGCAUUAGUAGAGUCAACCUUACAUUGUAGGAUUUAAUUUUUUAGAAAAAUUUUUUGCAAGAACUUAAUAGUAGAAUGACUAUAGAAGCAAUUUUUACAUAUUUGGAAGUAGAGAAGAGCCUAUAAUGGAAAAACUAAUGUUUAAUUAUAUUCCUGUACGUGAGAAGGCAUGCAAGGAGUUUUAUUUGUGUUUGUCUUCAACUGUAAAAUUUUAAAAUUUAUUUACAUAUAAAAUUCUUUUCCAUUAGACGUUUAAAUUUAUAAACAUGACUUUAUUAACAAGUAAAAAAUCAACUUCUUUUAAGUACAAAUUUAUUUAUUAAGUGAAAACAUUCAUCCAAAAGAAUUUUCAAACUCUUUACGUCUACUGUGAUAAGAACGGUUUUUCAUCUUGGUUUUCUCUUUAUGAAUGUGACUGAAAUAUUCUCGCCAAUUUUGUUAAAUUUUCACACAAUAAUGUCAUUUGAAACUAGAGCUUUUAAUAUUUGCUUUUGUCCUUAAUUUUCAUUUGUAGAAUGAUCAGGAUAAAAAAUACAAUGCCCCCCUUCAGAAUUAUUUUUCAGAACCACUGAUAGAUUGAUCCAGACUUGCAAGUGAAUUUAGCCUGUCCAAGGAAGACUAGAUUUAGCUCGAUAUAGUUUUAUUGCCAUUCUCAUGUUCACUAGAGGGCAACAAGCUUUCAGCAUGUGAAUACUGCAAGUAUAUUAACAACAAUUCAGUUUUUCUUUGGGACUCCUGCAUUGCUCAUAUCUUCUCUUUAACCUUUCCAAGUCUAAACAAGUGUUCUGUCUAGAUUCUAUUAAGUUCCACAUACCAAUAAUUCCAUGCCUAUUCUUUUCUUCCAGUUUUA
RNAcentral lists this unclassified non-coding RNA (3569 nucleotides) under Centruroides sculpturatus (bark scorpion). Its description in RNAcentral is "heme-binding protein 1-like, transcript variant X5". Lineage: Eukaryota; Metazoa; Arthropoda; Arachnida; Scorpiones; Buthidae. The record is from RNAcentral.